Molecule: ribosomal RNA, 253 nt
Filed under: uncultured bacterium
Lineage: Bacteria
Description: partial 16S ribosomal RNA
Rfam family: Bacterial small subunit ribosomal RNA
Source: RNAcentral
UACGUAAGCAGCGAGCGUUGUUCGGAGUUACUGGGCGUAAAGAGUGCGUAGGCGGUUUUCUAAGUUUGGUGUGAAAUCUCCCGGCUUAACUGGGAGGGUGCGCCGAAAACUGGAAGGCUUGAGUAUGGGAGAGGUAAGCGGAAUUCCUGGUGUAGCGGUGAAAUGCGUAGAUAUCAGGAGGAACACCUGCGGUGUAGACGGCUUACUGGACCAUAACUGACGCUGAGGCACGAAAGCGUGGGUAGCAAACAGG